This 462-nucleotide long non-coding RNA is filed under the name Phascolarctos cinereus (koala). Its description in RNAcentral is "lncRNA (ENSPCIG00000034274.1)". Lineage: Eukaryota; Metazoa; Chordata; Mammalia; Diprotodontia; Phascolarctidae. The record is from RNAcentral.
CUUUGAUUGAGCAUGCAAUGUCCCCAUGGAAAGCACUUAGCCAGAGCCCCCGGGAACUUUAGGAGCCAGGGCAGUGGGAGACAGCAUAAUGCAUGCCCCCAGAGGGCAGUUACAGAGGGAUAAUUAUGUACCUGAAUAUCUGCUGAGGGCAAGACAGAAGCUUCCAGCCAUGGACUGUGAUGGUCUUGUGACCUGGAGGAGGGAGACAGAGGAUCCAGUAAAGAGGCACCUGGGUGGUAUCAAGCUCUCAGUCACCCCUUCAGUCCAAGGUAUCAUCUUCUCUGCCCAUUUGCCAUAACAAAGACAUCACCAACUGAGCGAGGGCCACAGGAUCCUGACUCGAUUGGGUCACAGCAUCUUCUGAUUGUCCACUAUGAGCUCCCCAGCACAGCCAGGUCAGUCAUUUUGGACACAGUAAAAUCAUUUAUUGGAAAUGCAUUACUUUGUUACUGAUGUACUUUG